GCGCGGCGCUGGCCGAGCAGGGGCCCCACCGGGGCGGCCGCCGCCGCCUCCCCGCAGGGGGCGCCCGAGGGCCGCGGCUUGGCAAGGCCUGGGGGCUGAGGCGGUUCCCGGCCGCGGUUCCCGGUCUCACAAACAGGCCGUUUCCUGGCUGGUUUGGUUUCCGUAACGGGAGCGGUGUCACUGGGGAAAGGGGUUCCUGUGGCUGCGCUGAGCUGCGGUGACAGCCAGAGCCCCAGUCUUUCCACAGAAAGCAGCGGCUGGCGCGCGGAGGCGGGCAGAGCAGCGAGACUUCUCGGUAUCGGGACCUGCUGUUCCUUCCUAGGCGAGAGCAGCUGGAAUCCCAGAAAUGGCAUUCCACCAUUGCCAAACGAUGCUGAGCAAAUUGAAAUGAGGUGUCAUGUCACCCAUCACAGCUACAGGUGAGGAUGGCUUUCCUUAUCCACUGGCAACUAGCUGAGAGAAAAAGAAUUUCAGGCAGUUCUCCAAGAAGAUCUAGACCAUCAUUUUCAGCCACGACCUGAAAAACAAGCUUCAAGAGCACAAAAGGACACAAGGUGAUGUCUGUUGUGGUUGUCUGAGG
Molecule: long non-coding RNA, 580 nt
Organism: Pipra filicauda (Wire-tailed manakin)
Lineage: Eukaryota; Metazoa; Chordata; Aves; Passeriformes; Pipridae
Exons: 2
Source: RefSeq, a predicted model, not a curated record